GCAAUUUGGGAAACACGGCCGCGAAGGGAUGCGGGAAGGGCCGGACGCGCCGGGCUCAAAUACAGCAGACUCCGGCGCCACCGCGCACGCACGCACGCACGCGGAGCGGGGGCCCUGUCCAAAGCGCGUGAUCCAUUUCCUCCUCGCUUCCUUCUCUCUCGGUCUCGGUGCGUGCGUCACUCCGUCGGCCCGUCCCCCUCACCGGCGACUUGUCGCCUCGCGGCCACUCCCAGCCCCAGCGUGGGCGCGUGUGUUGCGAGCCAUGGCCGGCGAGAAGAGGAUGUUCGGCUUCGAGGAGGUCGCCAAGCACAACGUCGCCAAGGACUGCUGGCUCGUCAUCGCCGGCAAGGUGUAUGAUGUCACCCCUUUCAUGGAUGAGCAUCCUGGUGGAGAUGAGGUACUGCUGGCAGUAACCGGGAAAGAUGCAACCAGCGAUUUCGAAGAUAUCGGACACAGUGAUUCCGCAAGGGAGAUGAUGGAGAAGUACCACAUCGGGGAGAUUGAUGCUUCAACCAUCCCAGCAAAGCGUACAUUUGUACCUCCUCAGCAAGGGUCCCAUGUCCAGGCCAAGGAUAGCGACCUCCUCAUCAAGAUCCUGCAGUUUCUUGUUCCCAUUUUAAUCUUGGGGCUUGCAUUUGGUGUCCGGCACUACAGCAAAUCUGAGUAGGCUGUUGUUGGCGAGUUGCUUCGGAGAAAUAGCUUUCAAGUAAUAUGGUUUGAGGUAGAACAACAUAAUAAUGGUAUUGGUUGGCUGGUUUGAGUUAGAACAACAUAAUGAUGGUAUUCGUUGGGUGGCAGUGUGUUGUCUCAUUGAUCAUACAAGGCACUCUCAGUUCCAAACAUCUAUAUGUAUGCUCAGAUUACUCGAAUUAUGUUUACAUUCUCAACAUAUGGAGUCUCUACAUAUUUUUUUAGCCGAUGGAGUGUCUACAAUUGAGGAUGAUGGGAACAUUGCUAUGCUAUUAACAAUCUCAAUUUCAGAAUAAAUAUGGACAUCAUACAUUGCAGUGAUGUUCCCACAUAGUAAUUUGUCUGUCGGUUUCACUGUAUUUGACCAUAUUCUUGCAGUUAUACACGCC
This 1079-nucleotide ribosomal RNA is filed under the name Triticum aestivum (bread wheat). RNAcentral's name for it is "partial small subunit ribosomal RNA". The record is from RNAcentral. Lineage: Eukaryota; Viridiplantae; Streptophyta; Magnoliopsida; Poales; Poaceae.